GGGGAAGUGACCUGACCUUAGUCUACAGAACAAACCAUUCUUGGAACCCAAGGAGAUUCAAGACAUACUGGAAGGAACAAGCCCAGAGUGAUGGGAGACUGUUGUAAUCCGUGACCUCUUCUAAGAUACCCGGAACUUUCCUUUGUUGUCCAGACCUUGUACGAACACUCUGCAAGUCAGGCACUUCU
RNAcentral lists this long non-coding RNA (188 nucleotides) under Mus spicilegus (steppe mouse). RNAcentral's name for it is "lncRNA (ENSMSIG00000023546.1)". The record is from RNAcentral. Lineage: Eukaryota; Metazoa; Chordata; Mammalia; Rodentia; Muridae.